Molecule: ribosomal RNA, 1263 nt
Filed under: metagenome
Description: bacterial LSU rRNA
Rfam family: Bacterial large subunit ribosomal RNA
Source: RNAcentral
GUACCAUAACCGACACAGGUGGGUAAGUAGAGUAUACUAAGGGGCGCGAGAUAACUCUCUCUAAGGAACUCGGCAAAAUAACUCCGUAACUUCGGGAGAAGGAGUGCCAUAUUCUUAAGGUUGCAAUAACAAGAUCCAAGCAACUGUUUAUCAAAAACACAGGUCUCCGCUAAGUCGUAAGACGAUGUAUGGGGGCUGACGCCUGCCCAGUGCCAGAAGGUUAAAGAAGUCGGUUAGCAAUAGCAAAGCUGGUAACUGAAGCCCUGGUGAACGGCGGCCGUAACGAUAACGGUCCUAAGGUAGCGAAAUUCCUUGUCGGGUAAGUUCCGACCCGCACGAAAGGCGUAAUGAUUUGGAUGCUGUCUCGGAGAGGGGCUCGGUGAAAUAGACUUGUCUGUGAAGAUGCGGACUACCUGCACCAGGACAGAAAGACCCUAUGAAGCUUUACUGUAACUUGAAAUUGAAAUUGGACUUUAUUCGCGCAGUAUAGGUGGGAGGCGUUGAUUAUAAUCUUGUGGGAUUAUUGGAGCCAUCAGUGAGAUACCACUCUUGUAAUGUUAGAUUUCUAACUUUGAAUCAUUAUCUGGUCAAAGGACAGUUUCAGGCGGGCAGUUUGACUGGGGCGGUCGCCUCCUAAACGGUAACGGAGGCGUACAAAGGUUUCCUCUGAACGGUUAGAAAUCGUAUCUAGAGUGUAAAGGCAUAAGGAAGCUUGACUGUGAGACCUACAAGUCGAGCAGGGACGAAAGUCGGUCUUAGUGAUCUGACGGUACUGAGUGGAAAGGCCGUCACUCAACGGAUAAAAGUUACUCUAGGAUAACAGGCUGAUCUCCCCCAAGAGUUCACAUCGACGGGGAGGUUUGGCACCUCGAUGUCGGCUCAUCGCAUCCUGGGGCGGUAGUACGUCCCAAGGGUUGGGCUGUUCGCCCAUGAAAGCGGUACGCGAGCUGGGUUCAGAACGUCGUGAGACAGUUCGGUCCAUAUCCGGUGUAGGCGCUAGAAUAUUGAGAGGAGCCUUCUUUAGUACGAGAGGACCGAGAAGGACAUACCUCUGGUGUACCAGUUAUCGUGCCAACGGUAAACGCUGGGUAGCUAUGUAUGGAGUGGAUAACCGCUGAAAGCAUCUAAGUGGGAAGCCCACCUCAAGAUAAGUAUUCUCAUCACGUAAGUGAGUAAGGUCACGGUAAGACUAACCGUUUGAUAGGCAUUAAGUGUAAGUACAGUAAUGUAUGUGCUGAGAUGUCCUAAUAGACCGAGGACUUG